Molecule: transfer-messenger RNA, 367 nt
Filed under: Listeria booriae
Lineage: Bacteria; Bacillati; Bacillota; Bacilli; Caryophanales; Listeriaceae
Rfam family: transfer-messenger RNA
About the family: Bacterial tmRNA, also known as 10Sa RNA or SsrA, is named for its dual tRNA and mRNA-like properties.
Source: RNAcentral
GGGGACGUUACGGAUUCGACAGGGAUAGUUCGAGCUUGGAUUGCGAGUCGGGGGGAUCGGCCUCGUUACAAACGUCAAAGCCAAUAAUAACUGGCAAAACUAAUAACAACCUAGCUUUCGCUGCCUAAGAACAGUCGAUAGCUGAUCCUCCGUGCAUCGCCCAUGUGCUACGGUAAGGGUCUCAAAUUAAGUGGGAUACGAUUUUAAGUCUCCGUCUGGGGCUUAAAAGAAGAGCAUAAUCAGACUAGCUUUGCGAAAGCCUGUGUCGGGCCGCUGCAUAUGCGAAACCCUAAUACGAUGACUACGCUCGUAGAAGUCUAAGUGCCGUUAUUUCUGGACGUGGGUUCGACUCCCACCGUCUCCAUUA